GACGUAGGGCGCGAGCGUUGUCCGGAUUUAUUGGGCGUAAAGAGCUCGUAGGCGGCUUGUCGCGUCGUCCGUGAAAACCCGGGGCUCAACUCCGGGCUUGCGGGCGAUACGGGCAGGCUAGAGUUCGGUAGGGGAGACUGGAAUUUACGGUGUAGCAGUGAAAUGCGUAGAGAUCGUAAGGAAGACCAAUGGCGAAGGCAAGUCUCUGGACAGUUACUGACGCUGAGGCACGAAGGCCAGGGGAGCAAACGGG
This 253-nucleotide ribosomal RNA is filed under the name uncultured bacterium. RNAcentral describes it as "partial 16S ribosomal RNA". It matches the Rfam family "Bacterial small subunit ribosomal RNA", at positions 524 to 776 of the family's 1533-position model. The record is from RNAcentral.